This 256-nucleotide ribosomal RNA is filed under the name uncultured bacterium. Its description in RNAcentral is "partial 16S ribosomal RNA". It matches the Rfam family "Bacterial small subunit ribosomal RNA", at positions 524 to 776 of the family's 1533-position model. The record is from RNAcentral.
GACGUAGGUGGCGAACGUUAUCCGGAAUUAUUGGGCGUAAGGGGUGCGUAGGCGGCAUGAUAAGUUAUUGGCGGCAAAUCGAGGCUCAACCUCGUGGAAACUGAUAAUACUGUCUUGCUUGAGUGCAGAAGAGGUUAACGGAACUCCAUGUGGAGCGGUAAAAUGUGUAGAUAUAUGGAAGAACACCAAUAACGGCGAAGGCAGUUAACUAUUCUGUUACUGACGUUGAGGCACGAAAGCGUGGGGAGCAAAAAGG